This 420-nucleotide long non-coding RNA is filed under the name Drosophila guanche. Lineage: Eukaryota; Metazoa; Arthropoda; Insecta; Diptera; Drosophilidae. The record is from RNAcentral.
CUCUGUUCUACUUGACCAAUCGGCUUGAUAUUGUCAGCCUUGCUUUCACUUCCGAAACCGACCAAGCGCACUCUGCAGUUCUUUAAUUUUGGCAUACACAGUUCGUCGUAAAAGUCUUCGCGCAAAAUAUUGAAUUUACUACCAGUGUCAAAUAGUGCCAUACAUUUCAUAUUUUUAAUCGAAACUUCUUUGGAUGUCAAUUCCGCUCUAUUCAAAAUUACACGCAAGUUUUGUUUUUCUUCGUUUGCCUUCUCACUUUUCUCCUUGCAAUUCUUUGAAAUGUGCCCAAACUGAUUGCACUUGAAGCACUUUUUCCCCUUCUCUUUGCUCGAGCAACUGCUAGACACAUGACCCUUCUCUCCGCAGUUGUAACACACGACGUCUUUUUUGCCAGUCUGGGUAUAAUUUUGUCCAACCGAC